This 450-nucleotide ribosomal RNA is filed under the name uncultured bacterium. RNAcentral's name for it is "partial 16S ribosomal RNA". It matches the Rfam family "Bacterial small subunit ribosomal RNA", at positions 354 to 796 of the family's 1533-position model. The record is from RNAcentral.
GUGGGGAAUUUUGGACAAUGGGCGCAAGCCUGAUCCAGCAAUGCCGCGUGCAGGAAGAAGGCCUUCGGGUUGUAAACUGCUUUUGUACGGAACGAAACGGUCCGGGUUAAUACCCUGGGCUAAUGACGGUACCGUAAGAAUAAGCACCGGCUAACUACGUGCCAGCAGCCGCGGUAAUACGUAGGGUGCAAGCGUUAAUCGGAAUUACUGGGCGUAAAGCGUGCGCAGGCGGUUUUGUAAGACAGGCGUGAAAUCCCCGGGCUCAACCUGGGGAUUGCGCUUGUGACUGCAAGGCUGGAGUGCGGCAGAGGGGGAUGGAAUUCCGCGUGUAGCAGUGAAAUGCGUAGAUAUGCGGAGGAACACCGAUGGCGAAGGCAAUCCCCUGGGCCUGCACUGACGCUCAUGCACGAAAGCGUGGGGAGCAAACAGGAUUAGAUACCCGGGUAGUCC